RNAcentral lists this long non-coding RNA (287 nucleotides) under Calidris pygmaea (Spoon-billed sandpiper). Its description in RNAcentral is "lncRNA (ENSCPGG00000011594.1)". Lineage: Eukaryota; Metazoa; Chordata; Aves; Charadriiformes; Scolopacidae. The record is from RNAcentral.
CCCCCGAGACGCUGCUGCAGCGAGCCAGGGACUUCCUGGCCCUCUACCACCGCGCCCUGCGCCGGGAGAACUCGGCGGCGCACGCCCAGCGCCUGGGGGAGGUGGCGGCCGCCAUCGCGGGCAGCGGCACCUACGUCCUGCGGGGGCCGGAGCUGGUGUUCGGGGCUCGAACGGCCUGGAGGAACGCGGGGCGCUGCGUGGGGCGCAUCCAGUGGAACAAGCUGCAGGUGUUCGACGCCCGGGACUGCACCAACGUGGGGCAGAUGUUCGGGUUCCUCUGCUCCCAC